This 942-nucleotide non-coding RNA is filed under the name Leptojulis cyanopleura. RNAcentral's name for it is "partial 12S ribosomal RNA". It matches the Rfam family "Bacterial small subunit ribosomal RNA". Lineage: Eukaryota; Metazoa; Chordata; Actinopteri; Labriformes; Labridae. The record is from RNAcentral.
CACAAAGGCUUGGUCCUGACUUUGCCAUCAACUUUAACUAAACUUACACAUGCAAGUAUCCGCGCCCCAGUGAGGAUGCCCCGACCCUCCUGAAUGGAGACAUGGAGCUGGUAUCAGGCACAACCCUUUAGCCCACGACGCCUUGCUAUGCCACGCCCUCAAGGGAAUUCAGCAGUGAUAAAUAUUAAGCCAUAAGUGAAAACUUGACUUAGUUAAUGUUUACAGGGCCGGUAAAUCUCGUGCCAGCCACCGCGGUUAUACGAGAGACCCAAGUCGAUGGUCAUCGGCGUAAAGAGUGGUUAAGGGAAAUUUUCAACUAAAGCCAAACGACUUCAAAGCUGUUAUACGCUUACGAAAGCACUGAGGCCCCACCACGAAAGUGGCUUUAAUCUCCUGACUCCACGAAAGCUAUGGCACAAACUGGGAUUAGAUACCCCACUAUGCUUAGCCCUAAACAUCGAUAAAACCGUACUUAAUUUAUCCGCCCGGGAACUACGAGCAUAAGCUUAAAACCCAAAGGACUUGGCGGUGCUUUAGACCCCCCUAGAGGAGCCUGUCCUAUAACCGAUACUCCCCGUUAAACCUCACCUUUUCUUGUUAAAUCCGCCUAUAUACCGCCGUCGUCAGUUUACUCUGUGAGGAGCCCGUAGUAUGCACAAUUGGCACAGCCUAAAACGCCAGGUCGAGGUGUAGCGUAUGAAAAGGGAAGAGAUGGGCUACAUUCAAUAACCGAUAAUGAAUACGGAUGAUACCCUGAAACAAAAUAUCUGAAGGAGGAUUUAGUAGUAAGUAGAGAACAGAGUGCUCUACUGAAACCGGCCCUAAAGCGCGCACACACCGCCCGUCACUCUCUCCAAGCUAACAAAAACACAUUUCUAAUAAGCAAAAUUCGCUAAGGGGAGGCAAGUCGUAACAUGGUAAGCGUACCGGAAGGUGCGCUUG